GACGAACGCUGGCGGCGUGCUUAACACAUGCAAGUCGAACGGUAAGGCCCUUCGGGGUACACGAGUGGCGAACGGGUGAGUAACACGUGGGUGAUCUGCCCUGCACUUCGGGAUAAGCCUGGGAAACUGGGUCUAAUACCGGAUAGGACCACUGCCUGCAUGGGUGGUGGUGGAAAGCUUUUGCGGUGUAGGAUGGGCCCGCGGCCUAUCAGCUUGGUGGUGGGGGGAUGGCCUACCAAGGCGGCGACGGGUAGCCGGCCUGAGAGGGUGACCGGCCACACUGGGACUGAGAUACGGCCCAGACUCCUACGGGAGGCAGCAGUGGGGAAUAUUGCACAAUGGGCGCAAGCCUGAUUCAGCGACGCCGCGUGAGGGAUGACGGCCUUCGGGUUGUAAACCUCUUUCAGCACCGACGAAGCGCAAGUGACGGUAGGUGCAGAAGAAGGACCGGCCAACUACGUGCCAGCCGCCGCGGUAA
RNAcentral lists this ribosomal RNA (478 nucleotides) under uncultured bacterium. Its description in RNAcentral is "partial 16S ribosomal RNA". It matches the Rfam family "Bacterial small subunit ribosomal RNA", at positions 28 to 523 of the family's 1533-position model. The record is from RNAcentral.